Molecule: microRNA, 24 nt
Filed under: Xenopus laevis (African clawed frog)
Lineage: Eukaryota; Metazoa; Chordata; Amphibia; Anura; Pipidae
Description: xla-miR-103b-5p
Gene: xla-miR-103b-5p
Source: miRBase by way of RNAcentral
CAGCUUCUUUACGGUGCUGCCUUG